GACAGAGGAUGCAAGCGUUAUCUGGAAUGAUUGGGCGUAAAGCAUCUGUAGGUGGCUUUUCAAGUCCACCGUCAAAUCCCAGGGCUCAACCCUGGACAGGCGGUGGAAACUACCAAGCUGGAAUACAGUAGGGGCAGAGGGAAUUUCUGGUGGAGCGGUGAAAUGCAUUGAGAUCGGAAAGAACAGCAACGGCGAAAGCACUCUACUGGGUCGACACUGACACUGUGAGACGAAAGCUAGGGGAGCAAAUGGG
Molecule: ribosomal RNA, 253 nt
Filed under: uncultured bacterium
Lineage: Bacteria
Description: partial 16S ribosomal RNA
Rfam family: Bacterial small subunit ribosomal RNA
Source: RNAcentral